RNAcentral lists this ribosomal RNA (1224 nucleotides) under Triticum aestivum (bread wheat). RNAcentral's name for it is "partial small subunit ribosomal RNA". The record is from RNAcentral. Lineage: Eukaryota; Viridiplantae; Streptophyta; Magnoliopsida; Poales; Poaceae.
AUGGCAUGCGAGCCGCCGCCGCCGCCGCUGCCGAAGAAGCAGAAAUCCCCAGCGGCCGCGCCGACCACCAUAUGCGCCCUCGGCGACGACCUGCUGCGGGAGAUAUUCCUCCGCCUGCCCUCCCUCCCCACCCUCGUCCGCGCCGCCCUCACCUGCCGCGCCUCUCUCCGCGCCGUCCGCUCAUCCCCCGCCUUCCGCCGCCGCUUCCGCGAGCUCCACUCGGCCCCACUCCUCGGCGUAUUCCUCGACGUCUUCGAGUCCGACACUCCCGCUUUCCGCCCGCUCCGCCUGCAUUCUGACCCGGACCUUGCCGCGGCCGUCCGCGGCGGCGAUUUCCACCUCACCCGACUCCCCGACGAGAUCGAGGGCGUCGCCCCCGAGUGGUUAAUCCAGGACUGCCACGACGGGCGCGUCGUCCUCGCCAGCUACAAAACCGGGCACAUGGCCGUCUACGACCCCCUCACACGAGCCCUGGAUCUCUUCCCCAGGCCGCCCGGCGAGAUCUGCGAAGACAUGUACGUCGAGUACCACGUCCUCCCCUCCGACGAAGAACGCGGCCCGUUCCGCGUCAUCUGCGUCUGCCACGAAGCUUGCGGUGCGCAAGCCGCCGUCCUCUCAUCAGAGACCGGGGAGUGGCAGGUCUUCCCGUUUGUGGAGGCCGCAGCCAUGCAGCCUGGGGACGACAACGAGAAGUGUUCUGGCAACGGGACGCUGGUGAACGGGUCCAUCUAUUGGACAGACGGGAGCCGAGCCCUUGCGCGCGUGCUGAACACCUCGACAUUGCACUUCUCUCGCAUCGACCUGCCUCCGCACAUCGAAGGGCAAGGAGCGCUCACGGCUGGUGAGACCAAGGAUGGGAGGCUCUGCAUCAUCAGCACCGUCAAGCUCACACUUGUGGUUUGGUUCCAGAGAACCGAUGAUGAUGGUGUCGAGAGAUGGACGCAGCACAAGACAUUUCCGUUAGAGCAGGACAUUCAUGCGCACGAUCACUGCUUCGACCAUGAUCACAUUGCGCUGAAGAUUCUGGCGAUUGUCAAUGGCUUUGUGUACUUGUCUACUUACUGUGAGCCGGAUCGCGAUUUGCCUGGUUUGUUCCUGUCCUUCUGCCUAGAAACAGCAAAGCUGAAUAAGCUCUGCACUAUCCUUUACCCUAACAGUUUGUAUCCCUACAUCAUGGCGUGGCCUCCUUCUUUGGUGCUCAACGAGCCCACCAGAAACUACUGA